GAUGAACGCUGGCGGCGUGCCUAAUACAUGCAAGUCGAGCGAACAGACGAGGAGCUUGCUCCUCUGACGUUAGCGGCGGACGGGUGAGUAACACGUGGAUAACCUACCUAUAAGACUGGGAUAACUUCGGGAAACCGGAGCUAAUACCGGAUAAUAUAUUGAACCGCAUGGUUCAAUAGUGAAAGACGGCUUUGCUGUCACUUAUAGCUGGAUCCGCGCCGCAUUAGCUAGUUGGUACGGUAACGGCUUACCAAGGCAACGAUGCGUAGCCGACCUGAGAGGGUGAUAGGCCACACUGGAGCGGAGACACGGUCCAGACUCCUACGGGAGGCAGCAGUAGGGAAUCUUCCGCAAUGGGCGAAAGCUUGACGGAGCAACGCCGCGUGAGUGAUGAAGGUCUUCGGAUCGUAAAACUCUGUUAUUAGGGAAGAACAAAUGUGUAAGUAACUAUGCACGUCUUGACGGUACCUAAUCAGAAAGCCACGGCUAACUACGUG
This 497-nucleotide ribosomal RNA is filed under the name uncultured bacterium. Its description in RNAcentral is "partial 16S ribosomal RNA". It matches the Rfam family "Bacterial small subunit ribosomal RNA", at positions 28 to 507 of the family's 1533-position model. The record is from RNAcentral.